This is a long non-coding RNA of Solenopsis invicta (red fire ant), 10678 nucleotides long. RefSeq lists it as uncharacterized. Lineage: Eukaryota; Metazoa; Arthropoda; Insecta; Hymenoptera; Formicidae. The record is from RefSeq and is a predicted model, not a curated record. The transcript has 2 exons.
GCAUUGUAGGCAUUGACUAACAAUAAGCAUUGUCGGCAGUGUACAAAAAUGUUGGCAGUGUUUUACAGCAAUGCCAAAAAUCGGCAUUGGUGUACAAAAUUUCGGGUUGUGAAUUCCCCCUCGGCGGCUACUGUAUUUUCUAUUAUACUACUUGGGUUUUUUGCUAUAUUGCCACUAUUUAUAUCAAGAAAUAGUAUUAAAAUUAAAAAAGAACAUGUAAUUCUUUACGACAUAUUAAUGAAGUAAUUUUUUUGUACGUUAUUACACGUAUUUAAUAAAUUUAAAAUGUUAUUUUUUUAUACCUAAAUAAUUAUAAAGUUUAAUUACUUGUGAUAAAAACCAUUUUUAUUGCGAAAAUAAGCUACACAAUUAUAUUUAUAUUUAUAAGUUAUAUUUAUUAAUAAAGAUAUAUUAAUCUGUACGUGCACACGCCAAGGGAUAAAAGACGGCAAGGGAUAAAUUUUCAGAUAUCAUGUUUUAUCAAUUUUAAACUCUUUUGAUACAAUAUAUUAUAAUGUAAGAAAAAAAUUAGUUUUUUCUUUUCUGAAAUUAUAAUUUAAUGUAUAUGUAAUGUAUAUGUAAUGAUAAAUUCUAAUUUAAAAAAAUAAAAUGUUGAUUGAAUAAGUGAGAAAACGUUUAAAUAUGUAUUAAUGAAAUAAAAAAUGUUUUAAUUAACAUUUUACUUUAAAUAAACAUUUGUCAUUUUUAAAUAUCAAGCAAAAAACUAUAGUAUAUUAAAGUUAUCGUAAAUAACUUUAAGUAUUUAAAGAACCCAUGCUUUAAACUAAUUUAUUGAUAUUUUUCUUUUUUUAUUUUGAUUGUCUUAAAUAAAUUUUUUACUACUGGACAAUAAAAUCUUUUUUGUUUGUGCGUAUAUAAAGAUAUAAAACUGUUAAUGCGUUUAUAAUAAUUAAUAAAAUAAGUAUAUACAUAUACUAACAAUGUAAAAUAUUGUUGACACCUAAUUAUUUAAAGAAAAAAGUUAAUAUAAAGCUAGUAUAUAUUUGAUGUCGGACUGUAAAAUAGUACUGCUAUAUAAUAUAUAAUCAAUACGCGACUAAUAAAACUGUUAGUGCUGUGCCAGCUUAAUUGCCGACAGCGGACCGUACUUCUAAUAAUAUUACAAAUUCUAUCUGGGACACUUCUUUUCGUUAAAGAUAAUUAUCGAACGCUUUUUUAACCUUGAAGUAGAUAUAGGUGGAGUGACCACAGCAUCUGAAGCGGGAUUCUAUAACUCUUAACGAUGGGAUCGGUAUUGUUACAUUAUUGUUGCGCAGGUUUUUUUACUAUGUCCAUAUAUUUGUGCAACGACAAUAUAACGAUACCGAUAUUAUCGUUAAAAAUUAUAGACUCUUGCUUUAAGUAACGAAGAAAGGUAGGAUUAGAAGCUUAUUUUGAAAAAGAAAAAGUAUUCUCCAAAGUCUUAAAAUUCAUUUUUUUAAUAUUUCUCUAUUUUCUAAGGGUUUAACUAAUGUAAAUUAAAAUAUAACAUAAUAUACUGAUAAAAAAUAUAACUAUAAAAGUCCAAGUAAAAUACGAGAACAGUUUUUAAAUUUUAAAUUUCGAUAAAUCUUUCUCUCUUUAAGUGAUAUAUAUCAUAUUUAAUCUUAAAUAUGUCAGUCAUAUUUUAAGUUUAUUUGUUUUGUGCGAAAAGAUUAUGACAAUGUUUUUUGAGAAUUAAUCCUUUAACAUAAUUUAAUACAGUGUGAUGUGAACAUAUGGAAAAUAAUUUUCUAUGAGCUUUCGAAAUAUCACAUAACAAAAUAAUCUGUUAUAUUAAUUGAGUAAUCUGGAAUAAUUUGAUCUCGUGUACUCCAAGAUAGUUACAUUAUUACAUUAAUAAUAAAGACAAAUGAUUUAUAAUCAAUUCCAAUUACUUUGCUUAUAACAAUUUAAUUAUUAUGUUUUAAUUAAAAUAUAUUAUUAAGAAAGUUAUGUAUUAAAAUUAAUACAAUUCUUGCUGUAGAAUAAUCUCGUGCAACAAACAAUUCACCAUGUAUUUUUCCGCAACACUCAUUUCAUUGUAAAAUGUAUGCUAGCGUUUUCCGCAGUACAUCCGGAUUUCAUAGAUCAAGCACGUGCGUUCGAUUUCAGAGGGAAUCGACGCAGAUAUGCUGCCUGUAUGAUAGUUUCCUAUUUCGCGAUGCAAAGAAUUUUUGCAACUUACAUAUGAAUGAAAAUGAAAUCGUAAUAGUCCGCGUUUUCGAUACUUUGGCGUGUUCGAUAUAAAUCCGUGGACUUGCGGGCGCCGUUUCGCGAUAAAUAACUAAAAACUAUUUUCGCAUCGUCGAAUAAACGUAUACAUGUGUCUGUGUGUGCCUUGGUACGUGUGUCGUAACGAGUGAUGUUGCCGGUAUGUAAACGAGGUGACACGCUCGCGCGUGCGUGCAUGUGCAUGCGUAUAUGAGAGAGUGAGAACAGAGAAUGCAAUGAGAUUCUGCGUAUUUCACGGCAACUGCGUUAAACAAACAUCGACGAGGAGGCUACACGCAAGUGAUUGCGCCGGGAUCACUACAGCUGUCGCAAUUGCAUCCGAUUGGCCGUCCCGUUGCGAUCUACUUUACACACGAUGAGCAGGUGCCGGCAGUCGGCGACCUGUCCGCAAAUAAUUCGCGCCGUAAUAUCUUCGAGGCAUAUCGUAAUUACGGUAGCUCGAGCUUCUAAAAUAAACGGUUCUGAUUAAGGAUGCGAAUCGAGUCUCUAAAAAGGUCAAACUAAAUAUUUAAGCAAGAUAUAGUCUAUUAGAAAGAAGGAUGUUUCGAAAAGGUCUGUUUUUGUUGUGCUUGGGAAAAAUAAAACGAACAUUAUUUCUACAGUUUUUGAGACGAGGAGGAAUUCGAUAGUACUAGAUAAAAUUACGUGACGAGAACACAUAGAAAAUUGCGUUUAAAUCGAAAAAAACAUGAGUCAUUGCAGUUAUUUGCAAGAUAAAUCGACAUGCUAUACGUAUUGAUACACGGUGCGAUGUAUCACGUUUCGAUAUUAACAUCAUUGAGACCAGGUCAUGACUCGAGACGUUUUUAAACAUCUAUAUCUUGUUACAUACUUGCUGGAUUUUAAUUGACUGUCCUGUAAUAAGUCCCUUCCCCGUACGCUGCGUACUACAGAUUAAUCAACCGGCGUCUGUGCAAGAAGAUAGACGUGCAUUAACCUCGCCUUGGAUAAUUACGCAGCCUCACAAAAAAUAGUGUUAUCUCCGAGAGAUUAGACCCAUGUGUUAUGUAUUUUGAGGCUCUGAAAUCGAAUAUGACUUCAGAAUUGCGCCAUCAGAUCAGAAUUUUUUUUUACCUUCAAAAAAUUUCAAAACAUUCCUAAAAUUACACUAUUCAGCCUGGUAAAAAAAAGCCUGAUUUUAUGGCGCAAUUCUGAAGUCAUAUUUGGUUUCAGAUCCUUAAAAUACAUAGGGAUACAUGGGUCUAAUCUCUCAUGAGGCAUGACACUUUUUCUUUUUUGUGUGGCUGUGUUAUCACUCACCUCUUCGUCGAUGUAACAAUUUCGUGUCAACAUUUUGCGUAAAAAUAAAAGAUAGAUUCCACAAGAAUGCAACAAAAUUCGUGCAAAAGAUAUUUAUACAUUUACUUUUAGAUUUCAAAAAAAUAUUACGCUUGUUUUCAAAGAAGAGCAAAGUCUUCCUUAUGUCGAGCUUACACCAUGAUAAUAAAAUUGACGAGUUCAAUUAGGGAGGCUAAUAUUCUAUAAAAGCUAUUAGUUUUCUAAAACCAUAGCUGAUAUAUUGAGAGUAGACCAAAAAAUAUUUGGGUCAUCAUGACCCACCUCAAUGUGUAACAUUUUCCCACCCACAAUGACAGCGAGUUAAAAAUAUAGAAUAUCUUAUAAAAGACACAACGGUCGGGUGCCUGCACGAACGUGUUCAACUUUCCCCACCACCGCCACGGCGCGCGGUGCGCCGCGCCGUGCGAGCGCACGAAACUUUUCUUUAUGCCUGAUAUUUUCGCUAUUAAAUAUAGCAUUUUUAUAAAACAUAUCGUAUUUUUAAUUUAAAACAUCAUGUAUCAUACUAUGUACCAUGUCAACAUAUGUAGCGUAGCGACCUAUCUCGCAAAUAACUGCGAUCUCACACAUUUUCCCGAUUUAAACGCAAUUUUCUAUUUGUGUUCCCGUCAUGUGAUGUAAUUUCAAUUAGCACGUCACAUUCCUCGCCUCAAAAAGUGUAAGAAAUGAUGUUUAUUUUCCUCGAACACAACAAAAACAGACCUUUUCGUGAUAUCCUCCUUUUUUAAAUUCUUCUAGAAAACUUUUUAGAGUUUAACUAAAUAUAUCUACUUAUAAUAGGAAUUCUAUAAAUAAUAUAUUUAUGUUAAUGGAUAUUCAUGAUACAUAUUAUGUGUUUACGUAUCAAUAAAACAUUAAUAAAAUUGACAUUCUCAAUGUGUUAAAUCGUCUUGAAGACCUUAAUAUUAUAGAAAAAAAUUAUAUGGUGCUAAAUAUUAAAAAAAUUUAAGAUAACAUUGAUUUUUUAUUGAAAAAAAUUGUUUUUAAUUCUUUUUAUCGCAUAUUAUAGUCUGCGUGAAACAGAUGAAUAAUUGUACUUUUCAAUUUUUUUUUUUUUUUAAUUAUCGAAAGUGCUUAAAAAAUCGUUCGGACCGUUACGUUGAACAUUCUGUAUAUAUGUAUGUAUGCACAUACACGCAUUGUAUAACUUACUUUUGAUUUGCUUUUCAUUCUUUUUAACUUGCCCCAAAAUUUGAUCUCUUGAAUCAGGAAAUGAAAUUAGAUAAUGUGCAGCUGUCUUAUCGCUGAUUUGGAGAAAAUGGUAAUGUUAACAAAUUAUGUGAAAAAAGAUACAAUGAAAAGAGGAACGACAGCAAAGAUAUCAUGUUGGCACUGCAAGAAUCAUUGUAAUUUAUUUAAGUACCAAGCUACUGGUAAUUUAUAAUAUUAUCACUUAAUAAACUCUAACAAUACAAUUAUGUUCUAAAAUUGUGCGGUAAUAUUAAAAAUUACGCACAAAAAGUUACAAGUGGUUCGAUUGUGUGAUAAUUCCAUUAGUUUAUUUAUUUGAACCAACUUUAAAGUAAUUUACUCUUUUUGUAAUAAAUAAAGAGAUUUAUAGCCUAGCAUGAAGAACAUAAAAGAGGCUAUAAAUCAUGUAAAGCAUCUAUAUAAAAUAAUAUACGUAACAUAUGUAUUUUUAUCAUAAUAAUUUCACAGAUGAAUUAUUAAUUAUUAUUAAUUAUAAUUAAUUUAUCGAUUAUAUUUCUAAUUAUGAAAUCGUGCAUUGCAUUAAAGAGAUAACUUGCCAAUUAAUCGAGAUUAUUUAUUGAAUUAAUUAUCGCAUUGAUCUUGCGAUUUAUAAAGCGAGCUAAGUGAUUUUGCAGUUAUUUCUAAAUAUAUUAUUAUUUACUAUAAAUUUGUCGCUCGAAAUCGAUAAUAAUACAUACGUUGUUACUUGUGAAAGGCGAUCGAUAAGAUUCGUAACGACUGUUGCAAGCCGUCCUCGUUACUUUACUUAAUUUAACCUCGUCCUAGAAUUAAGAAUCCGUGGAUUCAGUUUUUAGUAGGAAAGGAAAAAGACUUUUCGCUUAAACGAAUGCAAGUAAAGUUACAAAUUCAAUGUUUUUGACACAUUAUGAUAUCUUUGAUAAUACGACAAGUAUAUUAAAUAGUAUACGUAUCUUUAGAUUAUGUAUAAUAUUUUUUUAGAGUAAUUGCUUAAAUAAAAAUAUUAAGAAAAUUAUAAUAAUUAUUGUGGUAUUUAUAAAUUUAUCUAUAAAUUAUUUUGAUCAAAAUUUGAUGUAUAAAUGACAGUUAUAUAAAGUUUAACUCUUAUAAAUUAUAAUUGUUAAUGCAAAAUUUUGUUGAUUUAAAGAAGUCUAAUUCUUAUCAUUUAUAUCAAGACUUAAGAUGUAAACAUAUUUCUUCUUCCACCUAGAUUUUACACAUAAAGAUUAGUAAUUUCAUAAUUAUCGAUGUUGAAACUAAUGCAAUUUGUUAUUUAUCAGAUGACUUUUUUCGUCAUUUUUUAAUCGAGUACAAAAUUAACUUUGUUAUAACAGAAUAUUUUUAGAAGUUCUGUUUUACAUCUACUAUAUAUUUCGGCUUAUAACUAACACUUAAUAUUCAUCAGAAUAGAAUCAUUCGAAUAAAACAGAAUAUACACAUGAGUAUAACUGCUUAUACAUUGCUUAUACAUUUUCGGUUUUACUGACAAAUUUUCAAAAUAUAUAUUCGAAAUUCUACUGUCAUUUGCACAUUGUUGAGUUGAUACAGCAUAUCUUGGAAGUUGCAUUAAGAUUAAUACCAACUACAUAAUAUUUCAUGUAACUUUAGAGGAGCUCUGUAUCGGAUUUUAAGUAUAUGCGUCAAAUAUCAUAUUAAAAGCGUUGUAAGUGCAAACCUUAAUGCUUGCUCUCUUAAGAGGAUGUUGAAAACGUCUUUUUUUUAUCGAUUUUACUAAAAACGAUUAAUUUUUGCGCACGUUGUUUUUCUAAUUGUAUUUACAGAUUUAAAAAUCCUUCUCCUCAAUUGAAGUAUAGGCACUAAUGUACCUCAGUGAUCGACUAGUGCUCGACUUUAUGCCAGAAACGUUAAAUUUAUAUCUUUUUUUUUUAUUUAAUUUUAGUUCAACAUAGCAUCUAGAGCUGUCAAUGGGUGCCAAUAUUUGUUUUAUACAAAUAUUUGAAUCAUUUUCUACAAAAUGAGAUUACUGUAAGGUGCAAAAUACACGUAAAAACAACGUAGAGUUUCUGAAAUUUAGCUUAAAAGUCUAAUACAAAAAGUUUGUAUGCCCCUCUGAAAAUUUGUGCAUUUACAAUCAAUCAUGGUAAAUAGAGCAGUUAUUGUGGAACACAAUAAGUGACAGAUCUGGCAUUAAAUGGCGCUAAAGUCGAAGAACAAGGACAGAUGAUGUAUUCAUGCAUUGGAUAAAGAGCACUAGCCUAAUCGCUUGAUCUUAGCGCUAUUCCCCUUACUCUUUCUCCUUCCCCGCGCAACCGUGUGCCGCUCGACUCUCGUUCGAAAAAAAAAGAAUCUGUGAUACCGACGUUGAGUGAAUUCGAGUGUCACUUCAGCAUCCCCAUAAUCUGGUUUCAAUGUUUCUUUCUCUCUACUUCCAUCACAAAUUCUGAAAAUAAGAUUUAAUCAAAAAUAAAAUACAAAACGAAAGUCACAUGUUUAUGUAUAUUAAUGUUUUUUUUCCCAAGAUAGUUUCGACAACAAAAUCUUUUACUUUUGAAUAACCUCCAUCGAUUUAAUAAAAAAAAAAAAUUUACCCAAGUUAUAAUAUUGUAUGUUUAUCACAGAUGGAGCUAAUCUUGUGUUAAGACGACCCUUUCAUCAAUUAAUUAAUUGCAUUAAGGACAAAUGCAGCUUUUACAAAACAAAAUUGCAUUUGCGAUUGAUAAAUCAAAUUAAAAAAUUCGUCUUUAGUAAGAUAAUAAAUCUGUUAAACGACCCUGCACUCUUCUUAUGGAAAUUGGGUUUCACUCAAAUGGACUGAAUAUGAUAUGUCUAUCCUCUAUAUAUUGCAUAUGUAUAUACAUAUCUACAGAGAGGGAGAGAGAGAGAGAGAGAGAGAGAGAGAGAGAGAGAGAGCCAGUGGUCCGACUGAUAUGACCACUUUGUAGAAUAUACAGGGUUUUCCAAAAGUAUGGAAAUACUUAAAUAUUUCGAAAACUAAGCAUUUCCGAAAGAAAUUUUUCAGACAAAAAUUGUAGGGUUUAAAAAUAUCUAUUUGCAGAUCUUAUCACUUUCUUUAACGUUGGUGAUGUCGCUAAGGUCAAUGUCUUCAAUUUUUUUUUUUAAUGGAACGCUUAUUUUUGAUUCCAGAAUUUAAUAGCUAGUUUCAAGACUUUUUCAAAAGUAUGGAAAUGCUUAUUAUAAUGAAGUCAUUUUUCAUUAAGUACUUUCCGAGUUGUGAGGCUUGAAUGUUACAACACUGUCACUUUGAAAUCUGUGUACUGUCUUUUAAUUUCUAAAUAUUUAGAAAUAAUUUUUUGAAAAAAAUAAUUAAAAAAUUACAAUCUUUCAAUCUCUCUAUCACUACUCUCGCACUUAUCAAAGCUACGCGGCACUUCUUGGUAAAAAAUUUUCUUAAGUCUUAUAACUUACAUAACCUAUAGGUGCACUUCAGAGAGCUAAGUUAUGUAUAUUGCGUCAACAGCGCACUUCUCAGGUGCAACCUGUCACUGUCAUUGUGCUACAGUCUCUCCAUAAAAGUUUCCAAGCCUUGAUGUUGUUAUACUUUGUGUAUGUGUCAAAAUCCAGCAUCAAAUCAAAGUUAAAAUUAUAAAAAUUUUUGCGGAAAGAAAAUAUUUUCCGUCCAACUUAAAAAUAAUAUUUUUAGCCAAAAAGAUGAUUUAUAAAAAAAAUCUAUAAAUAAAUAAUUUAAUCACCAAAAUUUAUAAUUAAGUGUAAAAAGUAUAACAGUAAGUAUACCAUAGUAAUGCGUGUUCAUAUUGAAAUUUUGUAUAUAUUUUAUUAAAUGCAAUAUAUAUUUUUAGAUUAAAUUAUUUUUGUUAUUUGUAGCAUUGUAUAUAUAUAUUUUUUUCUUUUUUUAUAUUUUUCUCUUGUUUAAUGUGAUUUUAUACAAAAUUGAAAUGCAGCGUAAACUGGUACACCUAUCGUUAAGAUGGAUUACAAUUAAAAAUAUGUACUAUUUACUAUUGAAUGAAAGGCAUAUCAUUAUAAGAUCUAUCUAUUAAGGGAGUAUUCCAGUUGGACAAAACAAAAAAGUCGAUUUUUUUAAUCAGCUUUUUUUCAAUCUUUGUACUAUUACAAAUAAACUUGUAAAACGAUUUAAUGAAAAUCGAAUAGUUUGUCACUAUUUUCACGUUUUGAAGAACGCUUAUAUGAGUCAAAUGAUAUUUUUGUAAAAACUUUAAACGUGUUUUUCUUUAAUCUGUUUUUUAACUUUGUCGCAGGCUUUUCUCAGAAACUAAUCCAAUUAACAUUUGCUUUGAAGCAAACUAUUCGUAAUACUUGUGGCUAUGGCUGGUACUAGGAUUUUUUUUUAUAUUAUGAAAUAUUUUUUUACAGCUUGCAAAAGUUUAAAAAAUGUUGCAAAUUUUGUUCUUCAAUUUUAAUUGAUCGCCAUUUCGUUCAACAUUGUGAUAAAUGAUUUAUUUUAGUUCCAACGAUAACCACAUUUGUAGGUUAAAAUCUUGUUAGUUUAAAAUUAGCAUAAAGGACGCAAACAAUACAUAUAAAUAGAAUUUUUUAAAUUAUACUGUACUUAUAAAUAACAUUUAUUAAUAAUAAGGACUAAAAAUUAAACUUUUAUUAAGUUAAAGAAGUAUUAAACAUAUAUUUAAAAUAUUUUACAUGUUUUCAGUUCAGAGCACAAAAUUCGUAAAAAUAGCUUUUAAAAUGAUUCUUUAAACAGUUCAAACUAUAAUACUUCCUUUUUUCUUAGUUAAUUUUUUUUUCCUUAAUUUUUUAUAACAGAAGUGUGAUAACUCUUUAUGGUUUUUUUUUUAUUUUUGUGAUGUGUUUUUUUACAGAACUGUUUGUUUUAUCUAUCAGGAACUGUAAAACUAUUGAAAAUAAACUCAGAACUGUCAAUGUUUAGUGAUUUUCCACCAAAUGAUAUGCUUCACACUUUUUACAGUUUACACAGAUAUAUUGAGAAGUUUUAACUUACUUUUAAACCCGGUUUCAAACGACCUGUUUAGAAAGGAAUCUGAUGGCAAAAUAUUCUCCAUGGUUUUCUAUUGCCUCCCGAGAAAUAACGAUCGAAUAAAAUCCGAUAUUUUUAAUCGGAUUUGGACCUUUGGCACAGAGAACAGACGCAUAAUUCUCUGCGCCAUAAUCUUAUUAAAUUAGUAACUUAAUCUAAUUUUUAUAUAUUUGCGUUUAUAUUGCGUUUUGCGGAACAACAAAUUUAUAUUUGUCGACAAAAAUUAUUUUACAUCUAAGUAAAAGCUUGUAGGAAUCUUCAUGUACAUUAACUUGUAUUUUGUACAAAUAAUUUAUGUGAAAAGAAAAGGAAAAUAUAGCAUUAAUGUCUCCAAUAUUGGAGCAGUUUUGGAGUUUAAUUUUGUCGGAAUAAUUAUUGCUUGUCUUAUUAAAAACUUAAUUGUUGCAAAAUUUGAAGCAAUAUUAUAAAAACUGCUAUAUCAUCUAAUAGAAGACACUUUCUAGUUUGUAUUUAUGUUUCUAAAGUUUUAUUUCCAGUUUUUAUUUAAACAAUACAAUCCAAAAACGCGAAAUAGUAUGUCAGUGUUGGCGACCUUGCUUUAUCAUAUCAUACAUUUAUUAAUUUGUGAGAACGUAGUUUAAAAUUAAUCUAGAUAACGUACACACAUAUGGGAAAAGUAUAUUCAGUCUUUUUUAAGAACAACUUUUUUAACUAUUUUUCGAUAACAAGAAAAAUAUUUAGGUAUUUAUUUAUGUUUUGAAUAUGAAUAUUUACUAUGCGUUUAAAAUACAAAAAGAAUAUAUUUAUUCUUUAUAAAUUGUAAGACAGUACUAUAAAAAUUAAAUUUCACUGAUAGGCGCAUUGUGAAUGUUUCGAAAAAAAGAAAAAAGAGAAAAAGAUUGUAAGCAAAAUCGAAACAAGAACAGAAAGUCAUAGAGUGACGGAAUGAGAAGAAAAGGAGAAGGGAAAAGCCGCUCACGAAGCAUUAACGAAGAAAGCUUUCAAGCGGACGGUUAAGAGUUGGGUGGAAUUUAUGGCCGCGCCGAAUUACCGACGUAAAGCAGCAGCCGCGUAGCGAAA